GACGAACGCUGGCGGCGUGCUUAACACAUGCAAGUCGAACGGAAAGGCCCUGCUUUUGUGGGGUGCUCGAGUGGCGAACGGGUGAGUAACACAUGAGUAACCUGCCCUUGACUUUGGGAUAACUUCAGGAAACUGGGGCUAAUACCGGAUAGGAGCUCCUGCUGCAUGGUGGGGGUUGGAAAGUUUCGGCGGUUGGGGAUGGACUCGCGGCUUAUCAGCUUGUUGGUGGGGUAGUGGCUUACCAAGGCUUUGACGGGUAGCCGGCCUGAGAGGGUGACCGGCCACAUGGGGACUGAGAUACGGCCCAGACUCCUACGGGAGGCAGCAGUGGGGAAUAUUGCACAAUGGGCGGAAGCCUGAUGCAGCAACGCCGCGUGCGGGAUGACGGCCUGCGGGUUGUAAACCGCUUUCGCCUGUGACGAAGCGGGAGUGACGGUAAUGGGUAAAGAAGCACCGGCUAACUACGUG
This 468-nucleotide ribosomal RNA is filed under the name uncultured bacterium. RNAcentral's name for it is "partial 16S ribosomal RNA". It matches the Rfam family "Bacterial small subunit ribosomal RNA", at positions 28 to 507 of the family's 1533-position model. The record is from RNAcentral.